CAUCGGUGCCUCCGCAACACGAAGCCGUGAACCCGGUCAGGCCCGGAAGGGAGCAGCCGUAGCGGUGGAGUUGUGUGCCGGAGAUUUGCUGGUGGGG
This is a non-coding RNA of Marinobacter lutaoensis, 97 nucleotides long. It matches the Rfam family "Bacterial small signal recognition particle RNA". From Rfam's summary of the family: The signal recognition particle (SRP) is a universally conserved ribonucleoprotein involved in the co-translational targeting of proteins to membranes. Archaeal SRP consists of a 7S RNA and homologues of the eukaryotic SRP19 and SRP54 proteins. NCBI's taxonomy places the organism in Bacteria, Pseudomonadati, Pseudomonadota, Gammaproteobacteria, Pseudomonadales, Marinobacteraceae. The record is from Rfam.